Non-coding RNA from Doryrhamphus excisus (bluestripe pipefish), 434 nucleotides. The record is from RefSeq and is a predicted model, not a curated record. NCBI's taxonomy places the organism in Eukaryota, Metazoa, Chordata, Actinopteri, Syngnathiformes, Syngnathidae.
GCGCCAAACUGGGCUGCUUUUGUGUCACGUGACUUCCGCUCUCUCUCUCUCUCUCUCCUUUCCGAAGAUUCAUGACCUGGCAACGCGUCCUCGUGCUCAAGAGACUGAGAUGCAAGAUCUCUUGAUGGAAACGUAGAUGAGGGUACACGGAACUAUCCGUCCUUGAGGAUGGCUUGCAGUGGAUGAUGGGAGUUGGCAACGAGGAUGGCUUGCAGUGGAUGAUGGGAGUUGGCAACGAGGAUGGCUUGCAGUGGAUGAUGGGAGUUGGCAACGAGGACAUGCAGCGGUUGGCCAGCAGGGGGCAGUGGUUGCAACGCCCAAAUGUUCAGCUGUCCUGAGUCCGACAGUACGGCGCCCCCUUGUGGAUGAGACUAGAAGCAACAUCCCUGCCUUGGAGUUUGGUUUCAUGUAGCAAUAAAACAUCUCAAAAUGGA